Molecule: non-coding RNA, 3293 nt
Organism: Nicotiana tabacum (common tobacco)
Lineage: Eukaryota; Viridiplantae; Streptophyta; Magnoliopsida; Solanales; Solanaceae
Source: RefSeq, a predicted model, not a curated record
CAUGGUUGCUCGGCACCUCGAGGGCAAUAUUGUCUUUCCAUUUAACUUUAUUUUGGCUUCACUUGGAUUAUAUCGACUCUUCUUUGGCUUCUCUCAUCUCACUCUUCUUGUUCUUAUCGGUACCAGGCAGACAGGUCUUUCAGAAAUCUGGCAGAUGGAGGUUCACUGAUCAAAAGGUUAACACCCGAGUUAUAUCAGAAAAGCUCCACCGUCUGCAAAUUUCCGUUUUCACCUUCUCUCUCCUCACUUUUCCUGUUCUUAUCUCUACACUUUUGGUGAAUUUUCCAGUCCGGAUCUUUGUUUUCCUGAACAACCUUGAAUUACUAUCUUGAUGUCAAAAUUGACGAAGCGGUGAUUUUUUCCGGGGUUGGAUGCGUCUUGAUUUGUUUUAUAGGAUCUGCUCACUGAUAACAAAGCAAAGUUUGAUUGUUAUUCAAAUGACUGAGAAGAUAGCAUGAGGAUUUAUCUCUUCCUGUACUUUUAUGACGUGGGCAAUCCAAAAAUCUAGAGGAGAAAGUGUUUCUUGGACUACUCCCAGAUAAAAGCUUAUUUCGGUUUAUCAGGCGGGUAAACGACCAAUUUCGUAGCUUUGUUAUCUAUGUCGUUAUUAUUUUUGAUUCAGAUAUCAGUUGGAUUCCACACGAUUGAAAUCAGAUAAAAGGAAUUGAAACAUUCUUUUCCUUUUCCUUGCACUAAACUUUUGCUGCUUUCGUUAUACCAUAUUGGUAUAGCAUUCUUUUUCCCCGCAGCAUUCUUUUGCUGCAACUGCUCAAGCAAAGAAUUCUUUGCUUGCAUUCUCUGUGUUAUUUUCUGUCAGUAUAAUCAAAUUACUAUACUGUCAGGCUUAUAUCUGCCUGUUGUUAUUGUAUUCAGGUUAUACAUAUACGCUAUGCCACUGGGAAAUGGGGAUAAUUAAGCACCAGAGAGUAUUUUAGACAGGAUGUGUUCCUUGAGUCUCUACUUUUGGGUUUAUGUAGUUCAUAAUAAUUAUUCCACAAUUUGUGCAGUUUUAUUCAAAUGAAUAGUAGGUGGUAGGGUAACCUCUUACGUGGAAGGUCUAGGUAUAUAUUCAAAUCAAAUAACUAGGAAAAUAGUAGUCAGGUACGACGGUUCUCUUAAACACACAUUUCUAAGCACAUAUUAUACUUAUAGCAAAUAUUUUUGGUUAGGAAGUUAGACUUUGUUUGUCACAUGUAUUGAUUGGUUAAACAUAUUACUGGAUUACUGACUGUAAAAUACAGCAGCUUGAGGAGACAUAUAUAAAGGUUAACAGUUCAGAAAACAGAAACCAGUUAAAUAAAUCUAUUGCAGAAUAUAUUUAGCUUAAAGGCUGAGGGUUCUAUCUUAAAACAGAAGGGAAGAGUGAAAUGGUUAGAAGAUGGAAACUCUAGCUUAGCUUUUGUUUAAAAUGUCAUACGGGAUGGGAGCAGGAAACCAAACAUUCAUAAUAUCAAGAGCGAGCAAUAUAGUUGAUCAGAAGAUGAAGGGAAAUUGCAGAAGUAGCUGUAACUUUCUACCAUCAGCUAUUUUCACAAGAACUGGGGAGAAGAAGAUUCGAUAAGAACUAGGGAGAAGAAGAUUCGACUACCCAUAUUUCGUAUUUAUGGACAGUAUCCAUUAACAGUUGCUGAUCGAUCUCUGAAAUUUUUAUUCUCUACACCAAAGAAAAGUAUGUUAUCCGUCACUACAAGCAGAUAAUGUAUCUUUUUCCUCUAAAUGUUUUUUCCUUAUCUUUGGGAAAGAAGGUAACGUUUGAAAGUUCGUUGGAUGAUACAUACUUUUUCCUGGAUUCAUAUAUAAAUAGGGUAAUAUUAUCCAAAAACUUCACACUAACUAACCAACAAAAAAGAAAACGUUUUCACAAGCUUCACCUGAAGAAAAAAGUCAUUGUUUAAUUUGAUGAUGGGUUGUCAAACUCUUUUGUAAAUGCAUAUAAAGUGAGGAAAAGGGAUGUAUUGUCUCUACUAGGAUGACUAGGGGUGCUAUAUAUGAUUUAUAAUGGAUUGAUGAUUGACUAACAAUUUGAUUUAUUGAAGCUUCUGACAUCUUCAUUUGACCAAUAAUUGCUUUCAUAUUUUUCCUUCGGUGAUGUUGGUUAUAACUUAUCCUGGUAAUAUGUUAUGAGUGUUAUUUCAUUGGGAUAAAGAUAUAUAUAUUUGAUUUAGAGUGAAUAGAAUUAUUUCUGACAUCUUAGUUUUAUAGAAAACUCCUUUUAUAUUUUUGUUUAGGUAAAAUUAGUUGUAUUUGGUCUUUUGAUAAGUGAUAUGCUUUACAGAAUCCAUACGGACUUUCUCUCAUACACUGCUCCAAUUCUUAUGGUAUACAACCUCUAAUUUGGAGUCCAGAUCAUAUUUUUCCAGUUAGAAAACGAACUGGUAAAGAUUCAUAUCAUUUGCCGUAUAAAAGGUGAUGUCGUGUUGGAAUGUAUUAUCUUGCACGAUGACCGGGAAGAGAUGAUGUUUCGAACCAUGUUUAACACAUCUUUUAUUAGGUCAAAAUAUUCAGAUACUUAACCGUGAUAAAAUUGACACACUGUGGGAUGCUAAUGAUCAAUUUCCAGAAGACUUCAAAGAAAAGGGAUGCAUGUUGCUAAAUCCGUAGCCCCAUUUGAUUUAUCCUAUUUUAAGGAGAAGGAUGGCCAUCCAUUGGAUGCAUUUGCUAAAACUCAGGAAAUACUUAAUACCGUGAAUUAGCUAAAUCAAAAGGGUGAUGCUGCUGGAUAUAUGCUCCACCAACCAGCUGCGACAAAUUUUAUCCUGGAAAUAUUAGAAUCUUCGCCCGAGACUACAGGUACUGGCAUGCCACACUAGCAUGCUUAUGAUCAAUCAGCUUCUAAGAAGCCUCAAGAGGCAAAAAUUUGCAGUAUCGGAAAUAAUGCCAAGGGAUUGAGUCAAUCUAUCAUCCACCAAACGGGCCUCUGCAGCAUACCACAUCAACAUACCCGACAGGUGAUACCCGACAUAUCCAGUGAAUGCAGAGAAAUCUAGCAGUUACACCAGUUAAAAGUCUGAAAUUGGCCAUGGUAAUAGUUAUGGAGCUAUUAUCCAUAAACCAUGUAUAUAUAUAUUAUUUUAAAAAAUAAUUAUCUUGCUUUGGUCAUGUGAAAUGUAUGUAUGGUCUUAUAUGCAUUAGGUUUGAGAAUAAUUGAAGCAAGAUGCAUUUUUACUGCCGGAGCCUAGAUGUUAAUCUAAAUUUCAUGUUGGGGCGGCAACACCUUACUAGUAUAUAUUAUAAAGCGUAGCUGUGUUUUGUUACUUGGAUGGUACAUUAAGAAUAUUGGAAGUCUGCCUCAA